AGAUUGAACGCUGGCGGCAGGCCUAACACAUGCAAGUCGAGCGGUAGAGAGGUGCUUGCAUCUCUUGAGAGCGGCGGACGGGUGAGUAAUGCCUAGGAAUCUGCCUAGUGGUGGGGGAUAACGUUCGGAAACGGACGCUAAUACCGCAUACGUCCUACGGGAGAAAGCGGGGGACCUUCGGGCCUCGCGCCAUUAGAUGAGCCUAGGUCGGAUUAGCUAGUUGGUGAGUAAUGGCUCACCAAGGCGACGAUCCGUAACUGGUCUGAGAGGAUGAUCAGUCACACUGGAACUGAGACACGGUCCAGACUCCUACGGGAGGCAGCAGUGGGGAAUAUUGGACAAUGGGCGAAAGCCUGAUCCAGCCAUGCCGCGUGUGUGAAGAAGGUCUCGGAUUGAAAGCACUUUAAGUGGUGGAGGGUUGUAACCUAAUACGUUGCAACUUUGACGUUACGACAAGAAUAAGACACCGACUAACUUCGUGACCAGUACGCCGUA
RNAcentral lists this ribosomal RNA (495 nucleotides) under uncultured soil bacterium. RNAcentral's name for it is "bacterial SSU rRNA". It matches the Rfam family "Bacterial small subunit ribosomal RNA", at positions 26 to 522 of the family's 1533-position model. The record is from RNAcentral.